GAUGAACGCUGGCGGCGUGCUUAACACAUGCAAGUCGAACGGGAAAUAUUUUAUUGAAGCUUCGGUUGAUUUAAUUUAUUUCUAGUGGCGGACGGGUGAGUAACGCGUGGGUAACCUGCCUUAUACUGGGGGAUAACAGCCAGAAAUGACUGCUAAUACCGCAUAAGCGCACAGAACCGCAUGGUCCGGUGUGAAAAACUCCGGUGGUAUAAGAUGGACCCGCGUUGGAUUAGCUGGUUGGCAGGGCAGCGGCCUACCAAGGCAACGAUCCAUAGCCGGCCUGAGAGGGUGAACGGCCACAUUGGGACUGAGACACGGCCCAGACUCCUACGGGAGGCAGCAGUGGGGAAUAUUGCACAAUGGGGGAAACCCUGAUGCAGCGACGCCGCGUGAAGGAAGAAGUAUCUCGGUAUGUAAACUUCUAUCAGCAGGGAAGAUAAUGACGGUAC
RNAcentral lists this ribosomal RNA (449 nucleotides) under uncultured bacterium. RNAcentral describes it as "bacterial SSU rRNA". It matches the Rfam family "Bacterial small subunit ribosomal RNA", at positions 28 to 478 of the family's 1533-position model. The record is from RNAcentral.